GACGAACGCUGGCGGCGUGCUUAACACAUGCAAGUCGAACGGAAAGGCCCUGCUUUUGUGGGGUGCUCGAGUGGCGAACGGGUGAGUAACACGUGAGUAACCUGCCCUUGACUUUGGGAUAACUUCAGGAAACUGGGGCUAAUACCGGAUAGGAGCUCCUGCUGCAUGGUGGGGGUUGGAAAGUUUCGGCGGUUGGGGAUGGACUCGCGGCUUAUCAGCUUGUUGGUGGGGUAGUGGCUUACCAAGGCUUUGACGGGUAGCCGGCCUGAGAGGGUGACCGGCCACAUUGGGACUGAGAUACGGCCCAGACUCCUACGGGAGGCAGCAGUGGGGAAUAUUGCACAAUGGGCGGAAGCCUGAGGCAGCAACGCCGCGUGCGGGGUGACGGCCUUCGGGUUGUAAACCGCUUUCGCCUGUGACGAAGCGUGAGUGACGGUAAUGGGUAAAGAAGCACCGGCUAACUACGUG
This 468-nucleotide ribosomal RNA is filed under the name uncultured bacterium. RNAcentral's name for it is "partial 16S ribosomal RNA". It matches the Rfam family "Bacterial small subunit ribosomal RNA", at positions 28 to 507 of the family's 1533-position model. The record is from RNAcentral.